UGGGGAAUAUUGGACAAUGGGCGAAAGCCUGAUCCAGCCAUGCCGCGUGAGUGACGAAGGCCUUAGGGUUGUAAAACUCUUUCGUCGGGGACGAUAAUGACGGUACCCGAAGAAGAAGCUCCGGCUAACUUCGUGCCAGCAGCCGCGGUAAUCCGAAGGGAGCUAGCGUUGUUCGGAAUCACUGGGCGUAAAGCGCACGUAGGCGGAUAGUUAAGUCAGGGGUGAAAUCCUGGGGCUCAACCCCAGAACUGCCUUUGAUACUGGCUGUCUCGAGGUCGAGAGAGGUUGGUGGAAUUCCUAGUGUAGAGGUGAAAUUCGUAGAUAUUAGGAAGAACACCAGUGGCGAAGGCGGCCAACUGGCUCGAUACUGACGCUGAGGUGCGAAAGCGUGGGAGCAAACAGGAUUAGAUACCCAAGUAGUCCCUGAGCGGGCUGGCAAGGCGCAU
Molecule: ribosomal RNA, 446 nt
Filed under: uncultured bacterium
Lineage: Bacteria
Description: bacterial SSU rRNA
Rfam family: Bacterial small subunit ribosomal RNA
Source: RNAcentral